UUCCUCACGCAGUGGCAGUAUCGUAGUCAAUGAGGUUAAUCUGAGGCACGGUUAUUGCUAAUUU
Molecule: small nuclear RNA, 64 nt
Filed under: Tinamus guttatus (white-throated tinamou)
Lineage: Eukaryota; Metazoa; Chordata; Aves; Tinamiformes; Tinamidae
Description: U4 spliceosomal RNA
Rfam family: U4 spliceosomal RNA
About the family: U4 small nuclear RNA (U4 snRNA) is a component of the major U2-dependent spliceosome. The structure of U4 snRNA from yeast and human has been reported.
Source: Rfam by way of RNAcentral